Molecule: long non-coding RNA, 220 nt
Organism: Trachymyrmex septentrionalis
Lineage: Eukaryota; Metazoa; Arthropoda; Insecta; Hymenoptera; Formicidae
Exons: 3
Source: RefSeq, a predicted model, not a curated record
AAGCGAGAGAGCGGACGAAAUAAAGCCAACGCGACGCAACCUUGUUGAUAGCGAGGAACUUCUUCGUGUUUAUUUCCUCUUCGUCUUACGCACCAAUGAUGAAUCGCUCCGAAAAGAAAGAAAUUAUUUUAUUCGCAAUCCAGUCAAGGCUGAAGUCGUUCGUUACAACGUUUCUUCUAACAAUGAAUCGACAAGGAUUAACAUUUAUAUCUCACGGGCA